GUGCCAGCAGCCGCGGUAAUACGUGGGGUGCAAGCGUUGUUCGGAAUUACUGGGCGUAAAGCGCGUGUAGGCGGCCAAACGGGUCCGAUGUGAAAGCCCUCGGCUUAACUGAGGAAGUGCGUCGGAAACUAUUUGGCUCGAGUGCAGGAGAGGAGGACGGAAUUCCCAGUGUAGAGGUGAAAUUCGUAGAUAUUGGGAGGAACACCGGUGGCGAAAGCGGUUCUCUGGACUGCAACUGACGCUGAGACGCGAAAGCGUGGGGAUCAAACAGGAUUAGAAACCCCCGUAGUCC
RNAcentral lists this ribosomal RNA (292 nucleotides) under uncultured bacterium. RNAcentral's name for it is "partial 16S ribosomal RNA". It matches the Rfam family "Bacterial small subunit ribosomal RNA", at positions 505 to 796 of the family's 1533-position model. The record is from RNAcentral.